UCCUUGGGAAAUUUAUCGUCU
Molecule: non-coding RNA, 21 nt
Organism: Caenorhabditis elegans
Lineage: Eukaryota; Metazoa; Nematoda; Chromadorea; Rhabditida; Rhabditidae
Source: Ensembl